UAAUACAGCAGUUGGCAA
RNAcentral lists this unclassified non-coding RNA (18 nucleotides) under Mus musculus (house mouse). RNAcentral describes it as "oocyte_clustered_small_RNA4612". The record is from RNAcentral. Lineage: Eukaryota; Metazoa; Chordata; Mammalia; Rodentia; Muridae.